UACAGAGGUCUCAAGCGUUGUUCGGAUUCAUUGGGCGUAAAGGGUGCGUAGGUGGCGGGGUAAGUCAGGUGUGAAAUCUCAGGGCUCAACCCUGAAACUGCAUUCGAUACUGCGCGGCUAGAGUGCUGGAGGGGAGACUGGAAUUUACGGUGUAGCAGUGAAAUGCGUAGAUAUCGUAAGGAAGACCAGUGGCGAAGGCGAGUCUCUGGACAGCAACUGACGCUGAGGCACGAAGGCCAGGGGAGCAAACGGG
This 253-nucleotide ribosomal RNA is filed under the name uncultured bacterium. RNAcentral describes it as "partial 16S ribosomal RNA". It matches the Rfam family "Bacterial small subunit ribosomal RNA", at positions 524 to 776 of the family's 1533-position model. The record is from RNAcentral.